This 253-nucleotide ribosomal RNA is filed under the name uncultured bacterium. RNAcentral's name for it is "partial 16S ribosomal RNA". It matches the Rfam family "Bacterial small subunit ribosomal RNA", at positions 524 to 776 of the family's 1533-position model. The record is from RNAcentral.
GACAGAGGGUGCAAACGUUGUUCGGAAUUACUGGGCGUAAAGCGAGUGUAGGCGGUUUGGUAAGUCGGAUGUGAAAGCCCCGGGCUCAACCCGGGAAGUGCACUCGAUACUGCCAAGCUAGAGUAUCGGAGAGGUUGGUGGAAUUCUCGGUGUAGAGGUGAAAUUCGUAGAUAUCGAGAGGAACACCGGCGGCGAAGGCGGCCAACUGGACGAAUACUGACGCUGAGACUCGAAAGCGUGGGGAGCAAACAGG